CGCUCCGUCCUAGGGGAGUAGUCUCCCACGAGCGCCAUGCUCGUCCGGCAUACGUCAACAUACUUGGUCAACAGACCAUGGCGUAUGCGACCCAGGAGUCCGCACAGACGGACCGGGGUUUGACAAGACCUAUGACACGAAC
This 142-nucleotide small RNA is filed under the name Pseudomonas lundensis. RNAcentral describes it as "yybP-ykoY". The stretch from base 1 to 121 matches the Rfam family "Manganese Mn2+ riboswitch aptamer (yybP-ykoY)". From Rfam's summary of the family: This RNA was originally discovered in E. coli during a large scale screen and was named SraF. Lineage: Bacteria; Pseudomonadati; Pseudomonadota; Gammaproteobacteria; Pseudomonadales; Pseudomonadaceae. The record is from RNAcentral.